AACGAACGCUGGCGGCAGGCCUAACACAUGCAAGUCGAGCGAGACCUUCGGGUCUAGCGGCGGACGGGUGAGUAACGCGUGGGAAUAUACCCUUUGGUACGGAAUAGCCCCGGGAAACUGGGAGUAAUACCGUAUGUGCCCUUCGGGGGAAAGAUUUAUCGCCAAAGGAUUAGCCCGCGUUGGAUUAGGUAGUUGGUGGGGUAAUGGCCUACCAAGCCGACGAUCCAUAGCUGGUUUGAGAGGAUGAUCAGCCACACUGGGACUGAGACACGGCCCAGACUCCUACGGGAGGCAGCAGUGGGGAAUCUUAGACAAUGGGGGCAACCCUGAUCUAGCCAUGCCGCGUGAGUGAUGAAGGCCCUAGGGUUGUAAAGCUCUUUCAGCUGGGAAGAUAAUGACGGUACCAGCAGAAGAAGCCCCGGCUAACUCCGUG
RNAcentral lists this ribosomal RNA (433 nucleotides) under uncultured bacterium. Its description in RNAcentral is "bacterial SSU rRNA". It matches the Rfam family "Bacterial small subunit ribosomal RNA", at positions 29 to 507 of the family's 1533-position model. The record is from RNAcentral.